Molecule: long non-coding RNA, 1229 nt
Organism: Brassica napus (rape)
Lineage: Eukaryota; Viridiplantae; Streptophyta; Magnoliopsida; Brassicales; Brassicaceae
Exons: 6
Source: RefSeq, a predicted model, not a curated record
ACACUGAUUCGGUAUUUCGUUAUGUUGACCAUUCUCAAGACUGAAAAAAGAAACAGAAAAGGAAAAAAAGAGAGAGAUCUAGAACGGUCUCUUUACCGACAAAAGAUGAGACGAAGAAAAAUCGGUGUUCGAUGGUGAAAAACAAAGGUGUACGACUCUAUAUGAGUAAAUACGAAAUCAGAAUCUCGAAAUCUGCCGGUAUACCAUCGUUUACUCUCUCAUUAUCUUACGAUUCAUCUACUUGAUCUGAGAAGCCUCUUUAUAGAUAUGUUCAGAAGUAUCAGAUGACUUGUAUGUUGAUUCUGAUGAUCGAUCUUAGUCAAGCGGAUCUUCGAUUAGCACUGAAUUUGACCAUUCCCUAUUGGGGUCGGAAACACCUAAGCAAUCUCGAGCUUCUCAGAUGUCAAGCUCGUGAUGUCCAUCGGCUUGCUCAAAAUCUGAAGGGCGAUGUUCAUUUCUUUGACAACCAUGAAGUUGGCCUAAUGAAAUUUUGGGUUACUAUAUAAAAUUUGGGGUUACGUUAAAGUGAGGGCUUAUCAAAGGUCUUAUACUUUGCAAAAUGAUGAUCCGGUCUGUUUGCAAAAAAAAAAGGAUGACUGAUUAAAAUACACAGAUACGUACCUUAACUAAUGGCCAGACCAUUCUGUAAUGGUAAUUGCUAUGUAAACAAAGAGAUAAUUCUCAUGUACAUCAACUAAUGGCCAGACCAUUCUGUAAUCUGACCAAACUGUAUGUUGUUUUUAUACUCAUCCUCUGAUGGAAGGACAUGAGUCAAGUCGAACCCAAAGGACAUGAGGCAAAGUCCAACCAAAGCCUUACAGUACACAGAUAAGUCUCCGACUAUAGCUUUUUUUUUGGGUUAGAGAUAAUGAGUUGACUUAAUUAUAUAUACAAUGGAUGUGCAGGUCGUGCAGUUAAAGGUUUUGAGACAGAGCUUUAUUCAUCUGAACGACAUGGGACAGAGACAUAGCGGGAAAGCAAUUCGAACCCAUGGUAUAGGGUUUGAUUACGAAAGAUGAUUUCGAUGGGAUUUUCAUGGAAUAGGAUUUGAUUAUGAAGAUGAUUUUGAUGGGCUCAUCAUUCUUUCCGAUUUAUUUAAAAAGGCACGAGCUUACGCGGAUGUGGGCCUUAAUUGUUUCAAUGCAUUUUGAUGACGUUAUGGAUAUGUUUUAAUAACUGAAGAUUUCUGAUUGGUCAAAAUAUAUUGGCGUCAUUUAUUUUUUUUAAAA